UACGGGAGGCAGCGGUGGGGAAUAUUGCACAAUGGGCGCAAGCCUGAUGCAGCCAUGCCGCGUGUAUGAAGAAGGCCUUCGGGUUGUAAAGUACUUUCAGUCGUGAGGAAGGUGUUAAGGUUAAUAACCUUAGCAAUUGACGUUAGCGACAGAAGAAGCACCGGCUAACUCCGUGCCAGCAGCCGCGGUAAUACGGAGGGUGCGAGCGUUAAUCGGAAUUACUGGGCGUAAAGGGCACGCAGGCGGUUAAUUAAGUUGGAUGUGAAAUCCCCGGGCUUAACCUGGGAAUGGCAUUCAAGACUGGUUAGCUAGAGUCUUGUAGAGGGGGUAGAAUUCCAUGUGUAGCGGUGAAAUGCGUAGAGAUGUGGAGGAAUACCGGUGGCGAAGGCGGCCCCUGGACAAAGACUGACGCUCAUGUGCGAAAGCGUGGGGAGCAAACAGGGAUUAGAUACCCGU
This 456-nucleotide ribosomal RNA is filed under the name uncultured bacterium. RNAcentral's name for it is "bacterial SSU rRNA". It matches the Rfam family "Bacterial small subunit ribosomal RNA", at positions 340 to 789 of the family's 1533-position model. The record is from RNAcentral.